RNAcentral lists this ribosomal RNA (2235 nucleotides) under Salmonella enterica. Its description in RNAcentral is "partial 23S ribosomal RNA". The record is from RNAcentral. Lineage: Bacteria; Pseudomonadati; Pseudomonadota; Gammaproteobacteria; Enterobacterales; Enterobacteriaceae.
GGGCGUUAAGUUGCAGGGUAUAGACCCGAAACCCGGUGAUCUAGCCAUGGGCAGGUUGAAGGUUGGGUAACACUAACUGGAGGACCGAACCGACUAAUGUUGAAAAAUUAGCGGAUGACCUGUGGCUGGGGGUGAAAGGCCAAUCAAACCGGGAGAUAGCUGGUUCUCCCCGAAAGCUAUUUAGGUAGCGCCUCGUGAAUUCAUCUCCGGGGGUAGAGCACUGUUUCGGCUAGGGGGCCAUCCCGGCUUACCAACCCGAUGCAAACUGCGAAUACCGGAGAAUGUUAUCACGGGAGACACACGGCGGGUGCUAACGUCCGUCGUGAAGAGGGAAACAACCCAGACCGCCAGCUAAGGUCCCAAAGUCAUGGUUAAGUGGGAAACGAUGUGGGAAGGCCCAGACAGCCAGGAUGUUGGCUUAGAAGCAGCCAUCAUUUAAAGAAAGCGUAAUAGCUCACUGGUCGAGUCGGCCUGCGCGGAAGAUGUAACGGGGCUAAACCAUGCACCGAAGCUGCGGCAGCGAACGUAUCACUUAAAGCGAUUCAGCGGGUUACGAYUGACGGAGCGAAGCGACGUCAAAGCGUAUACAAAGUCGAGUCGGUUUAAGGAUACGUUCGUUGGGUAGGGGAGCGUUCUGUAAGCCUGYGAAGGUGKSYYGUGAGGSWUGCUGGAGGUAUCAGAAGUGCGAAUGCUGACAUAAGUAACGAUAAAGCGGGUGAAAAGCCCGCUCGCCGGAAGACCAAGGGUUCCUGUCCAACGUUAAUCGGGGCAGGGUGAGUCGACCCCUAAGGCGAGGCCGAAAGGCGUAGUCGAUGGGAAACGGGUUAAUAUUCCCGUACUUGGUGUUACUGCGAAGGGGGGACGGAGAAGGCUAUGUUGGCCGGGCGACGGUUGUCCCGGUUUAAGCGUGUAGGUGUGUGUUCCAGGUAAAUCCGGUUCACUUUAACACUGAGGCGUGAYGACGAGGCACUACGGUGCUGAAGCAACAAAUGCCCUGCUUCCAGGAAAAGCCUCUAAGCAUCAGGUAACAUCAAAUCGUACCCCAAACCGACACAGGUGGUCAGGUAGAGAAUACCAAGGCGCUUGAGAGAACUCGGGUGAAGGAACUAGGCAAAAUGGUGCCGUAACUUCGGGAGAAGGCACGCUGACAYGUAGGUGAAGUGAUUUACUCAYGGAGCUGAAGUCAGUCGAAGAUACCAGCUGGCUGCAACUGUUUAUUAAAAACACAGCACUGUGCAAACACGAAAGUGGACGUAUACGGUGUGACGCCUGCCCGGUGCCGGAAGGUUAAUUGAUGGGGUCAGCGCAAGCGAAGCUCCUGAUCGAAGCCCCGGUAAACGGCGGCCGUAACUAUAACGGUCCUAAGGUAGCGAAAUUCCUUGUCGGGUAAGUUCCGACCUGCACGAAUGGCGUAAUGAUGGCCAGGCUGUCUCCACCCGAGACUCAGUGAAAUUGAACUCGCUGUGAAGAUGCAGUGUACCCGCGGCAAGACGGAAAGACCCCGUGAACCUUUACUAUAGCUUGACACUGAACAUUGAGCCUUGAUGUGUAGGAUAGGUGGGAGGCUUUGAAGUGUGGACGCCAGUCUGCAUGGAGCCGACCUUGAAAUACCACCCUUUAAUGUUUGAUGUUCUAACGUGGACCCGUWAYCCGGGUUGCGGACAGUGUCUGGUGGGUAGUUUGACUGGGGCGGUCUCCUCCUAAAGAGUAACGGAGGAGCACGAAGGUUGGCUAAUCCUGGUCGGACAUCAGGAGGUUAGUGCAAUGGCAUAAGCCAGCUUGACUGCGAGCGUGACGGCGCGAGCAGGUGCGAAAGCAGGUCAUAGUGAUCCGGUGGUUCUGAAUGGAAGGGCCAUCGCUCAACGGAUAAAAGGUACUCCGGGGAUAACAGGCUGAUACCGCCCAAGAGUUCAUAUCGACGGCGGUGUUUGGCACCUCGAUGUCGGCUCAUCACAUCCUGGGGCUGAAGUAGGUCCCAAGGGUAUGGCUGUUCGCCAUUUAAAGUGGUACGCGAGCUGGGUUUAGAACGUCGUGAGACAGUUCGGUCCCUAUCUGCCGUGGGCGCUGGAGAACUGAGGGGGGCUGCUCCUAGUACGAGAGGACCGGAGUGGACGCAUCACUGGUGUUCGGGUUGUCAUGCCAAUGGCACUGCCCGGUAGCUAAAUGCGGAAGAGAUAAGUGCUGAAAGCAUCUAAGCACGAAACUUGCCCCGAGAUGAGUUCUCCCUGAGACUUA